GAUGAACGCUGGCGGCGUGCCUAAUACAUGCAAGUCGAGCGAACAGAUGAGGAGCUUGCUCCUCUGACGUUAGCGGCGGACGGGUGAGUAACACGUGGAUAACCUACCUAUAAGACUGGGAUAACUUCGGGAAACCGGAGCUAAUACCGGAUAAUAUAUUGAACCGCAUGGUUCAAUAGUGAAAGACGGUUUUGCUGUCACUUAUAGAUGGAUCCGCGCCGCAUUAGCUAGUUGGUAAGGUAACGGCUUACCAAGGCAACGAUGCGUAGCCGACCUGAGAGGGGGAUGGGCCACACUGGAAAUGAGACACGGCCCAGACUCCUACGGGAGGCAGCAGUAGGGAAUCUUCCGCAAUGGGCGAAAGCCUGACGGAGCAACGCCGCGGGAGUGAUGAAGGUUUGCGGAUCGUAAAACUCUGUUAUUAGGGAAAAAAAAAUGUGUAAGUAACUAUGCACGUUUGGACGGUACCUAAACAGAAAGCCACGGCUAACUACGU
Molecule: ribosomal RNA, 496 nt
Filed under: uncultured bacterium
Lineage: Bacteria
Description: partial 16S ribosomal RNA
Rfam family: Bacterial small subunit ribosomal RNA
Source: RNAcentral